Molecule: ribosomal RNA, 305 nt
Filed under: uncultured bacterium
Lineage: Bacteria
Description: bacterial SSU rRNA
Rfam family: Bacterial small subunit ribosomal RNA
Source: RNAcentral
UGUUCCUACGGGAGGCAGCAGUGAGGAAUAUUGGUCAAUGGACGCAAGUCUGAACCAGCCAUGCCGCGUGCAGGAAGACGGCUCUAUGAGUUGUAAACUGCUUUUGUACGAGGGUAAAUCCCGAUACGUGUAUCGGGUUGAAAGUAUCGUACGAAUAAGGAUCGGCUAACUCAGUGCCAGCAGCCGCGGUAAUACGGAGGAUUCAAGCGUUAUCCGGAUUUAUUGGGUUUAAAGGGUGCGUAGGCGGUUCGAUAAGUUAGAGGGGACAUCCCGGGGCUCAACUUCGGCACUGCCUCUGAUACUGG